UGAGAAUUUGUUGAAAAUCACAGUUAUACGGUCUUUUUUUCUAAACACCUUCAGAUAUUGCGCUGAUUUUUGGUAUGUGAGUUAACCAUGAUGAGUUACAGGUCAAGUUAAAGUUUAGUUCUGCUCUGCUAAUUUUUGCUGAAAUUACGGGCUUUGGACUUUGAUAAAUUAUUGAAAAUCACAGUUAUACAUUUUUUUUUCUAUACGCCACCAGAUUUUGAGCUGAUGUUUGAUAUGUGAGAGUACCAUCAUGUUUGUGUCUACAUGUGUUUAU
This 274-nucleotide long non-coding RNA is filed under the name Mytilus galloprovincialis (Mediterranean mussel). The record is from RNAcentral. Lineage: Eukaryota; Metazoa; Mollusca; Bivalvia; Mytilida; Mytilidae.